Molecule: unclassified non-coding RNA, 758 nt
Filed under: Hevea brasiliensis (rubber tree)
Lineage: Eukaryota; Viridiplantae; Streptophyta; Magnoliopsida; Malpighiales; Euphorbiaceae
Source: RNAcentral
CGGGUUAGGGCUGUAUUUGAGAAGGUGGGGCUUAAAUACAAUGAAUCUGUGGUAAUAAGGAUUACAGGUUGUCCCAAUGGUUGUGCUAGACCAUAUAUGGCUGAACUUGGAUUUGUUGGUGAUGGUCCCAAUAGUUAUCAGAUUUGGCUUGGUGGAACACCCAAUCAAACUGCAUUGGCAAGAAGCUUCAUGGAUAAGGUUAAGAUUCAAGACCUCGAACGUGUUCUGGAACCUCUUUUUUAUCAUUGGAAACAGAGAAGGCAAUCCAAAGAAUCAUUUGGCGAAUUCAUAACUCGAAUGGGAUUUGAGAAACUUCAGGAGUGGGUUGACAAUUGGGAAGGUGUUGUGUCUACACCACCCAAAUACAACCUAAGGUUCUUCUCUGAUAAGGAUACAUAUGAUAAAAUUGAUGAACUUGCAAAGUUGCAGAAUAAGACUGCUGACCAGUUAGCCAUGGAAAUUAUUCACAAUUAUGUUGUUUCACAUCAAAAUGGAAAAGGGGAAUGAGGUGUUCAUGUGCAUCACAUACAAGAUGUUACAGCCAAGUAAAUUGGCUAAGGUGAAUAAGAGGAACAGCUUAUCCUUCUCUAUGCAGUUAUGGUUUGGUAACAGCUCUGUAAUGAAUGGUACUCAGUUUUGGUAUCGUUUUUUAUGGCAGUUUUGCUAGAGGAAGUAUUUACAAGAAUUGUGUUGUGUAUUAUUUAAACUCAAGCCUUGGAUCCAAUUAAGCUAAAUUGUUAGGAGAUCUUUUUUCAUUU